UAUCUAUUCAAUGAGAUUUAUCAGUGGUGUGAUUAUUACAAAUUAAAAGCUUUUCCCA
RNAcentral lists this small nuclear RNA (58 nucleotides) under Cervus elaphus hippelaphus. Lineage: Eukaryota; Metazoa; Chordata; Mammalia; Artiodactyla; Cervidae. The record is from RNAcentral.